AUCCUUAGAACCACCUUAAAAAAAAAAAAAAAAACCAAGGCAUCUUGUCCAUCUGCAACUACAAAAAUAAAAAAAAAAAGAAUGCUUGAAGACAGAUAAGACUUGGAAUGUAGUAAUCUCAGUAAAUUCUUCAUAUGAUUUGGUUAAAAGUAAAAGAAAGGCCAACAAUUAGGUGGAAAAAUGAGCAAGGAUGUUGAUAAGCAGGUCUUGGGAAACAAAGCUGUAGAUGGUUCUUGAACCUCAAAGGUACUUAACUGUACAGCCUGGUGGUGCAGCCAGCAAUUCCUGUGACUCAGGAAGUUGAAGCAGGAGGAUCCCAAGUUCAGGUCAGCUUGGGCAACCAAGUGAACCCCUCAGCAAGUCAGAAGACCCUGACUCAAAAAGUGGGGGUUGGGCUGGGAUUGUGGCUCAAUGGUGGAGCACUUGCCUGGCAUAUAUGAGGCCCUGGGUUCCAUCCUCAACACUCCAUACAAAUAAAUGAGUGAAUGAAUGAAUGAACAAAUAAGAAAAUAAAAGAUUAACAACUAAAAAACAUUUAAAAAUAAAGUGGGGGGUGGCUGGGGCUCGGGGCAUACGCGUGUAAUCCCAAUGGCUUGGGAGACUGAGGCAGGAGGAUCUUGAGUUCAAAGCCAGCCUCAGCAAAAGGGAGGUGCCAAGCAACUCGGUGAGACCCUGUCUCUAAUAAAAUAUAUAUAUAUAAAAAAAAAAAGGCUGCAGGGGCUGGGUUGUGUGUCAGGGGUAAGGUCCUUGCCUAGCAUGCGUGAAGCACUGGGUUCGAUCCCUGGCACCACCUAAAAAUAAAAACAAAAUUAAAGGUAUUGUGUCCAUGUACAACUUAAAAAAAAAAAAGGCUGGGGAUGUGGCUCAGUGAUUAAGCACCCCUGGGUUCAAUUCCCAGUAUCAAAACAAAAGGGUGGUGCUGGAGAUGUGUGGUAGAGUACCCCGUGGUUCUCAAUUCCCAGUACCAAAACAAAAACAAUGAGCAGUUAGGCUUUACUUACUAUGAUGGAAAAAUCAAGCAAGGAAGUAUUUCUGAGGACUGCGAAAACCUGAGGCUGAUAAUAAUAAUCAGAAUAUAAAUUGGUGCCAGCCACCUCUGAGGAAGUUGGGUAGCAGGUCUGUCUUUCACUUGGGGUUGAACCCAUGGGUCCGUUUAACACUGAACUUCAUCCCAAGCCCUUUAUGUUUAUUUUUAAGAAAUUUUGAGACAGGGUAUGGGUAAGUUGCCAAGGGUCAUGCUCAGUUUCCAAGGCUAGUCUGGGAUAACAGGCUUGCAUGACCGCCCUCACUUUUUUCCUUUUCCCUGGGGAUAGGAUCCAGGGCCUUGGAUAUGUUAGAAAAGUGCUCACCCACCGAACUAAAGCCUCAGCUCAGUAUCUUUGGUUUAUUUGAUUAUUAUUAUGAUGAUGAUUAUUUUGGUGUGCUGCGGAUCAAACCCAGGGCUUUGUGCAUUUAAGGCAAGCACUCUACCAGCUGAGCUAUCUAUAUCCCCAAUCCUUAAUUUGAAAGCAUUCCGCAGCCUACCUAGAGAUCUUGCUUCCCUGAGACAGCAGUGGUGAAGAGGGCAGCUCUAGAACCCUGGGUCUGAUCAGGCCCACCUUUGUGCAGUUGUUCUGUUGGGCAGUGAUUGUGCUGACCUUUGUAGGGCUGUCCUGCGAGGAUGAAAGGAGGGAGGAGAGUAGAUGAGACUAGUACUCCCCGUAGUAAGGGCUCAGGUAUUAUCUGUAAAACUGACUUUUCGUGAUGUCAGGGUAUCUGUUGUGUGGUUUAAGAUGGCAAAAAGCUGAUGGACCAUUGGGUCCUUAUAUGCAGACUUUAGAGAUUGAAUUGAUU
RNAcentral lists this long non-coding RNA (1833 nucleotides) under Marmota monax (woodchuck). The record is from RNAcentral. Lineage: Eukaryota; Metazoa; Chordata; Mammalia; Rodentia; Sciuridae.